This 504-nucleotide ribosomal RNA is filed under the name uncultured bacterium. RNAcentral's name for it is "partial 16S ribosomal RNA". It matches the Rfam family "Bacterial small subunit ribosomal RNA", at positions 30 to 523 of the family's 1533-position model. The record is from RNAcentral.
AUUGAACGCUGGCGGCAGGCCUAACACAUGCAAGUCGGACGGUAGCACAGAGAGCUUGCUCUCGGGUGACGAGUGGCGGACGGGUGAGUAAUGUCUGGGAAACUGCCCGAUGGAGGGGGAUAACUACUGGAAACGGUAGCUAAUACCGCAUAACGUCGCAAGACCAAAGUGGGGGACCUUCGGGCCUCACACCAUCGGAUGUGCCCAGAUGGGAUUAGCUAGUAGGUGGGGUAAUGGCUCACCUAGGCGACGAUCCCUAGCUGGUCUGAGAGGAUGACCAGCCACACUGGAACUGAGACACGGUCCAGACUCCUACGGGAGGCAGCAGUGGGGAAUACUGCACAAUGGGCGCAAGCCUGAUGCAGCCAUGCCGCGUGUAUGAAGAAGGCCUUCGGGUUGUAAAGUACUUUCAGCGGGGAGGAAGGCGGUGGAGUUAAUAACUUCACCGAUUGACGUUACCCGCAGAAGAAGCACCGGCUAACUCCGUGCCAGCAGCCGCAGUAA